This is a long non-coding RNA of Quercus lobata, 742 nucleotides long. RefSeq lists it as uncharacterized. The transcript has 4 exons. Lineage: Eukaryota; Viridiplantae; Streptophyta; Magnoliopsida; Fagales; Fagaceae. The record is from RefSeq and is a predicted model, not a curated record.
UUUUGUUGGGGGGGUACGGUACCCACUCCAAUCUUAACCUUUGAUAUUACUUCCCUUUAAUCCUGGUCAUUAAUUAAUUUUAGUAUGGAUACCAGUUACCGGUUAAUCUGGUUAAAGUAUAAAAACAAAAAAAACAAAAAAAAAACCGAAGAGGUUUCAAGCUCUGUUGAACGAGAACCUUGAGAGGCGAUGUGCCAUAGCUAUCAGCCUAUCACUACUACACAGCAGCCACCACCGCAAAGCUUCCGCCAUUGCUAUCGGUACGCUUGGUCAGAAAUUCGUCCUGAAGAGUUCAAGUUCCCAGCCAUCAAAUUUGGUUCAUUCCUUGUCAUUUCAGCAUCCGCUAUAUUACCAUUGGCAAGCACCCUUCCUCAAUCCACAAAUGGAAUCUUGAAGGUGAUUCGCUAGAUUGAGAAAUGCACUAGGUUGCAGGAGCUCUCGAAAGUUUACUAUGCUACUAUUGGACCCUUGGAAUGGUACGUCAGGGAAAUCUUGGACUGUGCCCUGCCAAAACCUACUACACCAUGUCUAAUAAAUAACUCUUUUUUUAUUCCAACUGGUCAAUUGCAGUUUUGGCCUUAGGGAAUGCAAGAAUCAAGUUUGGCCCUAGGAAAAAAAAAUGUUGAAGUAUGGACUAUGGAAUAGACCUGUCAUGAGUCAUGACUAUGGCAUUAUUUUUGCCUUAUACUGUUGCUAUUGUAUAAUCAAAUCAUUGAGCAAGUUGUUGCAUCUUUAUGUCGUA